Molecule: ribosomal RNA, 245 nt
Filed under: uncultured Actinomycetes bacterium
Lineage: Bacteria; Bacillati; Actinomycetota; Actinomycetes
Description: uncultured actinobacterium partial 16S ribosomal RNA
Rfam family: Bacterial small subunit ribosomal RNA
Source: RNAcentral
UACGUAGGGGGCGAGCGUUGUCCGGAUUCAUUGGGCGUAAAGAGCUCGUAGGCGGCUCAGUAAGUCGGCCGUGAAAUCCCGGAGCUCAACUCCGGGGGGCCGGUCGAUACUGCUGUGGCUAGGGUCCGGUAGAGGAGAGCGGAAUUCCCGGUGUAGCGGUGAAAUGCGCAGAUAUCGGGAGGAACACCCGUAGCGAAGGCGGCUCUCUGGGCCGGUACCGACGCUGAGGAGCGAAAGCUAGGGGA